RNAcentral lists this long non-coding RNA (1577 nucleotides) under Stegodyphus dumicola. RNAcentral describes it as "uncharacterized LOC118190686". The record is from RNAcentral. Lineage: Eukaryota; Metazoa; Arthropoda; Arachnida; Araneae; Eresidae.
AGUGCACAAUAUUUCUGUAUGUUUCUGUAACAUGAGUGCAAAAUUCUUCAUUAAUGGAUUUUCGUAAUAAUUACCAUUGGUCUAAAGAGAAGGUUAAUGGUUGGCCUCCGUGAAACAAUACAAAAAACAGCAGUUACAUCUGCAAAUUAUCUGGGUUUUCCUUUUAAGACUAUACCUCAUGUAUAAAUGCACUACACGUCUAGGCAUUGCUCGCGAAGAUGUAAUGCGUGCUUUCAAGAGCACUACUCCGAGUUUGAACUUCAUUUCUUCCUUCCGGCGCUUUUGAUGACACCGUUUCCAGUCGUAUCCUGUUUCUUCACAGUCAAGUCACAAACCACAUGAAGUAAUAUAACUUUGAAUAAGGCUUCGAGCAAGGUCUUCAGCUACGUUUCUCAGGUUCCAAAAUGCGUAAGUUUGCCUUAAAGAUUUUCUUCAUCUGGUCUUUGCUGAGCUGUGUUCGGCCACAUAUGGAAGAAGACAAUUUUGGAAAAGAGAAUUAUCUAAAUGAAUUAGAAGAACGACAGCUAGGGGCCAUUGGAUUAACUGUUCUUGGUGCGUUAACUCUACCGAUUCUGAUUCCGGUCGGAGUAGCCAGGCUUGUCAGUAGACUGGUGAAUCUCGGAAACAGUUCUUCAUCAACAGGUGUGACUGUGCGGCCGGUUAUUCUUCCUGGCCGUCCUCUCAGAAGGCCACAAUAUAUAAAUUAUCAUAAAGACUUCUUUUCUGAAAGACUUAUUCACGCAAGACGCUUAAAUAACGUGCAAUAGAAGAAAAAAUGUAUUACUACGUCUUAUGUACUUGAUUCCUAUUUAUAAGUGAACCGAUGUUCCUUUCAGCUGUGGGAAGGUAUGAAAUGCUUCCCUUGGGAAAAUAUAUUAUUCAUUAUCUUCUCUUUGUGAUUACUGAUGUCAAAGUAAAGCUCACAUUUUCCUUACUUUCUUCCUAAAUCUUUAGUUUAAUGUAGGUUUUCGCUUAGUAUAUAAUUUUAAGUAAUUAAAAGUGAAGUCAACCGAAAAUGCAACAUAUCUGCAAUGUAAAAGAACAGAUAUUAUUGCGAUUGAAUUCAUCUAAAAUUUAUGUAACAAACAAAAUAUAGUUGUAAAAUGAUAAUUCAUAUUGUUAAAUCACAUUAACAACUUGCAUUAUCAUUUGAUUAUAAUGUGCCCCAAGUCUGCAGAGUUAUUACAAUUCGAAUAAAAUGUGAUAAUACUUUUCUUUAAAUGCAAAAACAGCGAGGAUUUUUAAUAUGCAGUUUGUCGAAGUAGUAGGUUAAAAAUCUUCAUCGCCUUUGAGCAUUGUCAGCCACAUUUCUCGACUACAUGAAAACAAAUGAAUUUUUCGCCUUAUUGUAUGACAAGACCGCAAAACUAAACUUUAAGGUUAGUUUCUAAAUUAUUAUAUAAAUGUUUUUACUAUUAAUUUAUUACAUUUGGCUGAUAAUGUUGAAUUGUUGAAACUAUCAAUAGUAUCACUGAAAACUGAUCAUAGGCUCCUACAAAGCUUUCAUUAGCAUGUUUUGUACUUUAUGCUUUUAAAUUUAAAUAUUUUACUCAGCAAUAAAAUGAUUUCUUUUCAAA